CUGCAUCCCUUACAAGCAUACACAGCUGCCUGCCCUUUUGCCUUGUGUCCAUCCUGGAGCGGCCUUCUGCAAGAUUCUAUGUUACCUGUCCUCGGUCCACUUGGAAUCUCUUGAGAGAGCCGAGUCCUGUGUGUUCCUAGGCCCUGCCACAGGGACCUGGACGCCCUGCGUGUUGAGGCAAGUUUGUGGAUGUCCCGGGCCUUAUGGUCCCUGCUUCGCAUGAUGUAGGGCAGCAUCCAUCUGAACGCUCAUCACUACCAAGGCCAAGGUUUUGGAAGGAAGUCCUUCUUCUCCCAUCUUAGUAUUAGGCCAUCGGAUUUGGGACACGGGACUAAGGCCGCUGACUCUGCAUCCCUUACAAGCAUACACAGCUGCCUGCCCUUUUGCCUUGUGUCCAUCCUGGAGCGGCCUCCUGCAAGAUUCUAUGUUACCUGUCCUCGGUCCACUUGGAAUCUCUUGAGAGAGCCGAGUCCUAUGUGUUCCUAGGCCCUGCCAC
This is a long non-coding RNA of Peromyscus eremicus (cactus mouse), 496 nucleotides long. RefSeq lists it as uncharacterized. The record is from RefSeq and is a predicted model, not a curated record. The transcript has 4 exons. NCBI's taxonomy places the organism in Eukaryota, Metazoa, Chordata, Mammalia, Rodentia, Cricetidae.